This 269-nucleotide ribosomal RNA is filed under the name uncultured bacterium. RNAcentral's name for it is "partial 16S ribosomal RNA". It matches the Rfam family "Bacterial small subunit ribosomal RNA", at positions 334 to 618 of the family's 1533-position model. The record is from RNAcentral.
GAUUCCCUACGGGACGCAGCAGUGGGGGAUAUUGCACAAUGGGGGAAACCCUGAUGCAGCGACGCCGCGUGUGGGAAGACGGUCUUCUGGAUUGUAAACCACUGUCCCCAGGGACGAAAAUGACGGUACCUGGGGAGGAAGCUCCGGCUAACUACGUGCCAGCAGCCGCGGUAAUACGUAGGGAGCAAGCGUUGUACGGAAUUACUGGGUGUAAAGGGAGUGUAGGCGGGGAUGCAAGUUGGGUGUCAAAACUACAGGCACAACCGAUA